Molecule: long non-coding RNA, 237 nt
Organism: Poeciliopsis prolifica (blackstripe livebearer)
Lineage: Eukaryota; Metazoa; Chordata; Actinopteri; Cyprinodontiformes; Poeciliidae
Exons: 6
Source: RefSeq, a predicted model, not a curated record
UGUGCAGGAAUUCAGUUUGGAGAAGGUUUUCUCGACAAUCAGAGGACGGUCAAGUCGGCUGGCAGAUCACCAGAAACUCUUUCUGGAAUAGAUUUUCAAGACGCCCAAACAACUCGACUGACCUCAGAGUCAGUUAUUUAAAUAAUGCAGAAGUGUUCGUCGGUGAGAAAAAAGUCAACAAGCAGUAUUAUCCAUCACCAAAGAAUAACCAAAGACGACCUGCGCUGCCCACACCAG